GUUUCUAUGGUUGAAGUAACAACGACGGCUUUUCAGGCCGUAGGUCUUGGAGAAAAGCCAAGUAGGAACCU
Non-coding RNA from Apus apus (common swift), 71 nucleotides. The record is from the annotation of a RefSeq genome assembly. NCBI's taxonomy places the organism in Eukaryota, Metazoa, Chordata, Aves, Apodiformes, Apodidae.